CAUCUGGUGUCACUAGACACCACCAAUAGUUUGGAAAAAGCACCU
Non-coding RNA from Brassica oleracea var. oleracea, 45 nucleotides. The record is from Rfam. NCBI's taxonomy places the organism in Eukaryota, Viridiplantae, Streptophyta, Magnoliopsida, Brassicales, Brassicaceae.